AACGAACGCUGGUGGCAUGCCUAAUACAUGCAAGUCGAACGAGAAAGCACUUCGGUGUGAGUACAGUGGCGCACGGGUGAGUAACGCGUAGAUGAUGUGCCUUUUAGUGGGGGACAACCUCGGGAAACCGGGGCUAAUACCGCAUAAGCUUAGUGAAAUUGAAAAAGCUAAGGAAAGGGGGCUUCGGCUCUCGCUAGAAGAUCGGUCUGCGUGACAUUAGCUUGUUGGUGGGGUAAUGGCCUACCAAGGCGACGAUGUCUAGCUGGUCUGAGAGGAUGAUCAGUCACACUGGAACUGAGACACGGUCCAGACUCCUACGGGAGGCAGCAGUAGGGAAUAUUGCGCAAUGGGGGAAACCCUGACGCAGCAAUGCCACGUGAGUGAGGAAUGCCUUCGGGUUGUAAAGCUCUGUCCUAUAGGAAGAACGGCAUAUUGGUUAAUACCCAUUAUGUUUGACGGUACUAUAGAAGAAAGCACCGGCUAACUCCG
Molecule: ribosomal RNA, 489 nt
Filed under: uncultured Bacteriovoracaceae bacterium
Lineage: Bacteria; Pseudomonadati; Bdellovibrionota; Bacteriovoracia; Bacteriovoracales; Bacteriovoracaceae
Description: bacterial SSU rRNA
Rfam family: Bacterial small subunit ribosomal RNA
Source: RNAcentral